ACGGAGGGGGCAAGCGUUGUCCGGAAUUACUGGGCGUAAAGGGUUCGUAGGCGGUAUGUUAAGUCUGGUGUUAAAGCCCCAGGCUUAACUUGGGAUCGGCAUUUGAAACUGGAAAACUUGAGUAUUGGAGAGGUAAAUGGAAUUCCUGGUGUAGCGGUGAAAUGCGUAGAUAUUAGGAGGAACACCGGUGGCGAAGGCGGCUUACUGGGCAAUUACUGACGCUGAGGAGCGAAAGCGUGGGGAGCAAACAG
Molecule: ribosomal RNA, 251 nt
Filed under: uncultured prokaryote
Description: partial 16S rRNA
Rfam family: Bacterial small subunit ribosomal RNA
Source: RNAcentral